RNAcentral lists this ribosomal RNA (400 nucleotides) under uncultured bacterium. RNAcentral's name for it is "bacterial SSU rRNA". It matches the Rfam family "Bacterial small subunit ribosomal RNA", at positions 355 to 747 of the family's 1533-position model. The record is from RNAcentral.
UGGGGAAUCUUGGACAAUGGGGGCAACCCUGAUCCAGCGAUGCCGCGUGAGUGAAGAAGGCCCUCGGGUCGUAAAGCUCUUUAGGUUGGGAAGAAGGUUAUGCGUGGAUAAUACGUGUAACUUGACGGUACUAACAGAAUAAGCACCGGCAAACUCUGUGCCAGCAGCCGCGGUAAUACAGAGGGUGCAAGCGUUAAUCGGAGUUACUGGGCGUAAAGGGUGCGUAGGCGGUUAAAUGGGUGUGAUGUGAAAGCCUUGGGCUUAACCUGAGAAGUGCAUCGCAAACUAUUUGACUGGAGUAUAUGAGAGGGUGGCGGAAUUUCCGGUGUAGCGGUGAAAUGCGUAGAGAUCGGAAGGAACGUCAAUGGCGAAGGCAGCCACCUGGCAUAAUACUGACGCU